Molecule: transfer RNA, 90 nt
Organism: Pochonia chlamydosporia 170
Lineage: Eukaryota; Fungi; Ascomycota; Sordariomycetes; Hypocreales; Clavicipitaceae
Rfam family: tRNA
About the family: Transfer RNA (tRNA) molecules are approximately 80 nucleotides in length.
Source: Rfam
GCCGCAGUCGUCUAGGGGUAAGGACACCAGUUUGUGGUUUGGAUUAAUUGCAAGUCACUGGAAACCGAGGUUCGAGUCCUCGCUGCGGCA